GACGAACGCUGGCGGCGUGCUUAACACAUGCAAGUCGAACGGAAAGGCCCUGCUUUUGUGGGGUGCUCGAGUGGCGAACGGGUGAGUAACACGUGAGUAACCUGCCUUUGACUUUGGGAUAAUUUCAGGAAACUGGGGUUAAUACUGGAUAGGAGCUCCUGCUGCAUGGUGGGGGUUGGAAAGUUUCGGUGGUUGGGGAUGGACUCGCGGCUUAUCAGCUUGUUGGUGGGGUAGUGGCUUACCAAGGCUUUGACGGGUAGCCGGCCUGAGAGGGUGACCGGCCACAUUGGGACAGAGAUACGGCCCGGACUCCUAAGGGAGGCAGCAGUGGGGAAUAUUGCACGAUGGGCGGAAGCCUGAUGCAGCAACGCCGCGUGCGGGAUGACGGCCUUCGGGUGGAAAACCGCUUUCGCCUGUGACGAAGCGUGAGUGACGGUAAUGGGUAAAGAAGCACCGGCUAACUACGUG
Molecule: ribosomal RNA, 468 nt
Filed under: uncultured bacterium
Lineage: Bacteria
Description: partial 16S ribosomal RNA
Rfam family: Bacterial small subunit ribosomal RNA
Source: RNAcentral